ACUUACAUGCUAAAUAUCCAUACAAUAAAACAAGUAAUUCAGAGAUUAGCAUGGCCCCUAAGCAAAGAUGACAGGCAAAUUUGUGAAACAUCCAGUAUUUUU
Molecule: small nuclear RNA, 102 nt
Organism: Jaculus jaculus (lesser Egyptian jerboa)
Lineage: Eukaryota; Metazoa; Chordata; Mammalia; Rodentia; Dipodidae
Source: RefSeq, a predicted model, not a curated record